UCCAAGUUUAUUCCUCUUGAGUUAGAGAGGCCAAUGAGUUCUGACGGCAUUGUUGGGACAUAAAAGGGCUGUAAGACUAACAUGUACAAGACAUGUUGAAGACUCGUGUCCGAAUAAAUGUCUGUUAAAAAUCAAGAACGACCUGAGCCUUUGCUUCAACUCGAGGGGAGUAAUAUA
This is a long non-coding RNA of Siniperca chuatsi (mandarin fish), 177 nucleotides long. RefSeq lists it as uncharacterized. The record is from RefSeq and is a predicted model, not a curated record. The transcript is spliced from 2 exons. Lineage: Eukaryota; Metazoa; Chordata; Actinopteri; Centrarchiformes; Sinipercidae.